Molecule: ribosomal RNA, 1867 nt
Filed under: Triticum aestivum (bread wheat)
Lineage: Eukaryota; Viridiplantae; Streptophyta; Magnoliopsida; Poales; Poaceae
Description: partial small subunit ribosomal RNA
Source: RNAcentral
GGGCGGUCACGUGCGUAGAGUGGUCCAGGUGUGUAUAGGGGAUGUUUUUUAUUUAUUUUGCUUCGUGAGGACAUGGUGGUGGCCGGGGAGAGAGAGAGAGGGCGUGCGCGUGGGCCUUCGGAGCGAAGGCGGCGGCGGCAGCGACGGCGAGGCGCGGCGCUGCGUCUGAGCGGGGCACGAUGCGAUGCGGGCCUCGAGGGCCGAGAGCAGCCGCGUCCCUAAACAAGUGGUACCGGGCGAACAUACAACCGUUGAACCUACGGGCCCACUGACGACCCCUUGAACUUCUGCUCAAGGCACACAAACCUCAAAACGCUUCACAGACCCAACGUGCAUUCGGUGGACCAAAACGCAAAUAGCUAAAACUACUGUUCGCCCUACGACUCCUACGUGAAGCACUAGAUCUACCGUUCUUACCUACCUCCCAACUCGACAGAGCGUUACUGGCACCACUGGCACCUCCAGCACCACCACCACCACCACCGCCGCCGCCGCCAGCACUAGCACCACCCAGACUAUACUUUACGAUACUUACACCACUUAGACCCGUAAAACGAGCACUUACAGCAGACGCAUAACCAAGACCACCAGACCCGUCACCUUCCGCAGCGUCGUCCUCGGCGUCAGCGUCGGCGUCAGGAUCCAUGGCAUCCUCAGGCUCGAUACCGUCUUCUUCAAUGUCGGGAGCACUAGCGAGAGGUUCUGCGGCGUCACGAAGAGGUCGGGGUCGGGCACCAGCGUCGAUAUCGUUCAGUGGCCAGGCACGGUCCCUACUAAGAGGACUACGAUUUCCCAUAGCGGCGUCGGCCUCAAUCUGGACUUCGGACACAGGCUACGUAACAAGAAACUCUCUUCAAUGAGAAAUCGAGACGGACGAUCCUCAUGACUCUGGACUGCAGUUGAAGAACUGAAGCCAAUUCUUCCGUAGCAGGACGUGAAGACGAAUUUGCUGAGUCGGUUGAUGCCGAGAAGUCAACAACAGAAGCACCAAAACAACAAGCGAGAAGUAAGAAGCGUGCGGGAAUGACGAAGCGCGUAGGAGGUAAUCAGGGACGGACGCUACGGAGACUGCAAGAAGCAACUUCUCGACGGAAGUUUUAAUCAUUAGAGAAAUAGAGUUUAACUAUUCAAACCUACACGACUGUUCACGUUGAACAAUUUCAUUGGCCUCGUAACCAAAACAUAUAUCUCGGUCCUCAGUUGUUCCAUAACUGGCACGUCGUGAACUCACUUUGAUUAAGAUGUAGAACAAGUAUCCCUCUUUUUACCCGGAACUCGACGCGAGACAUCAUCUCGUAGUUCCUUAAACUACUCCGACCGAAGUAGCUCUCAGUAGGUGAAUUUGUCAAAACACCUGAAGUAGAACCGAAGUGGCUCUCAGUUAGGUAAAUUUGUCAAAGCGCCUGAAGUAGUCGUCAGUAUAAGAAGCGACAGACUUAUUCAGACGGACGACGGACGUGACGUGACGUGACGUGUCCGAGCUGAAGUAGAAGUAGACGCGCGAAGUAAACAAUAGGAGCUGUUGAUGUGACGUAUUAGAGGCAGAAGAUGAACGACGCACGUGACGUAUCAGCGGCAGAAGACGGACGACGGACGUGACGCAUCAGAGGCAUACCCUUACAGAACGGUAGAGGUUCUACCCUACGUAAGAACGAAAGUUAUAAUCCGUUCAGGAAUUAACAAUAACUUCAUGAACACUGGAUUAUAACGUAAAUCAUACUUUGAUGACACAUGACCGGUAAGUCGUGUCAACAUGAACAUGUGGAAAAAUGUAAUCUGUAGCUUUCUAUUUAAAGUACACGACCUUUAACGACACUUUGGUGGAAGGCAAAAUAGUUUACAAAAACAAACAGUAGAGACCGUUGAC